Molecule: non-coding RNA, 1421 nt
Organism: Chlorocebus sabaeus (green monkey)
Lineage: Eukaryota; Metazoa; Chordata; Mammalia; Primates; Cercopithecidae
Source: RefSeq, a predicted model, not a curated record
AUGUGGAUCCCAGUGGCCGGGCUUCCUCCUUGGCUGAGGCUCUUCGCCUUGGCGGGCACUGGUCGCUUUUGCAUUUGAGGGUCUGGAGCGGCGACACGAAAGCACUUGCCGGCGAGGAACCACCGUGGCCUGUCUGACUCCUCUCCGCAGCUGUGGCCCAAUCCGGAUUUCAGGAACACGCCGAGGAAGAUGUCUAAGUCCAGCUUAGACUUUAAGCGUUACGUAACCAAUCGGAGAUUGGCUGAGACCCUGGCGCUGCCCGCUGUGGGCAGCAACAAAUGUCGCCAAUCGUAUGGAGAAAACAAAAUAGGCCUCCACACCUAUUGCUGCAGCGCAAUCCGGGUCCUGGAAUCCUGACUCAGGCAUUACUUGAAGUUGAUGCCAAAGUGGUUGCCCUUGAAAGUGACAAAACUUUUAUUGCACAUUUGGAGUCCUUAGGAAAAAAUCUGGAUGGAAAACUACAAGUGAGUCACUGUGACUUCUUUAAAAUAGAUCCUAGAAGUGGUGGAGUAAUAAAACCACCUGCUAUGGCUUCUCAAGGGCUGUUUCAGAAUUUGGGAAUAGAAGCAGUUCCUUGGACAGCAGGCAUCCCUCUAAAAGUAACUGGAAUGUUCCCAAGUAGAGGUGAAGAAAGGGCACUUUGGAAACCUGCAUAUGACUUGUAUUCCUGUGCUUCUAUUUGGACGAAUAGAACGAAAUAUCUUUAUUGGUGAAAAAGAAUUCCAGAAACUAACGGCAGAUCCCCGAAAUCCAGACUUGUAUCAUGUAUGAAGUGUUAUCUGGUACGCAGCUUGUGAGAUUAAGGUUCUGCACAUGGAGCCUUGGUCAUCGUUUGAUGUGUACACCUGAAAUGGGCAGCUGGAAAACCCAAGCAUAGGGAAUUAUUAGAACUAUUACAACACAAUCUGUAUCUUAUUCAAAUGACUCCUUAUGGAAAUUUAUUUACCAAGAACUGAACACUUAUUCACUAUAAUAUAUUUUUCACAUGUUAAAGCACUGUUUUGUGAGGCGCAGUGCCAAUCUAAUAGACCACUUACGUUCACUGACUCCACUUGAUGCAAUGGAUAUAUUGAUGCAAAUAGGAAAAAAGGAAGAAGAGAAAAUAACUAACGUGUACCCUCAAGACUUCAAAAAACUUUUUGAAACUAUACAGUGUUCCAAAGAUUGUGCUUAUAAAUGGCUAUAUGAUGAAACCCUGGAAGAUAUGUAGCACCUAGACUGUUGUUUUUGGUGGAGCAGUUUAUUUGUUUUGAAACUAUGACAUGAAAACCAAAUUUGAAAGCUCACAUCCUUUCAGCAGAAGAUAACUGUUCUUGUUUUGCACAUGCCAGGCAGAUCAUUUAGUUGAUAUCAUUGGCAUAUUGGAUGAAAUAGUGGCUGCUAUUUUAUUCACACUUGAAUAAAAUGAAAACUUCAAUUAA